Molecule: long non-coding RNA, 4173 nt
Organism: Zonotrichia leucophrys gambelii
Lineage: Eukaryota; Metazoa; Chordata; Aves; Passeriformes; Passerellidae
Exons: 2
Source: RefSeq, a predicted model, not a curated record
AACAAAGGUCUUCGGGGGAGAAAGAAUAGGGGUGCACAAACCCAAGCCAGGCAAGGAGCGAGAACCAUUGUUUUCAUGGCCCAGUGCUCGCACCUGCAUUUACUCUGGGCAGCUUUUCCUCCCCCCACUGCACAUCUCCCCCGAGUUGGGGGGGUCAGUUCCAGUCUCUGUAAGAAGGGUGUGAGGGGGGUUUCCUUGCACAGGAGUUUCUUACCUUGGUUCCUUGAUGAAGAAGCUUACAUCUCUGCUUGUCUGUCACAAUGGUUGAGGGUGGACGAGAGGGGUCUUCUCUUGGAAGAGGGACCACCCCAAAGCUCAAAGCAGCCAGGCCAGGAGGUGGGGAGAAAGUCCAGGUCCAUUGUUCAGAAAAAGGGCAAGGUGCCCCUUCAAGUUCAGCGUGGCAAACAACACCUGUGGAAACACUGAGCUAAGAGGCACAUGACUCCCCCUCCCACUGGCUCAACAGUUUUUAACUUUUUGGUGGUCUUUUCUUCACGACAAUCAUGAGGCAAAAAUGAAGGAUAUUUCAGACAGACUCUCACACUCCGCAUCAUGCUUUUUACAAAAAUGCAUCAGCUUGGUGCAAAUACACCAAGACGACAACCAAAGCAUUGCUCCAGGUUCCAGCACAAUUGCCACGGGGGAUCUUUUUCAUUUGUAAAGACAGAAUUUGGCCUGGCAUCCCUGCAAAUGUCAAAGGUGGUCCAUGCUGCAUUGGAAGAAUUUCAUUGUUGUCACCUGAUUCAAAAUCAUUGAAAGAGCAAAAACGUAAAGGGAGAAGAUCAUUGGAACAGUAUAGUCCAAAUUGUGAUGGUGAGGUAAACACUUGGGACAAGGCUUGGAGAGUUGCCAUUGCAAUUUUCUCACCUCAGACAGCGUCAGGGAUGGCCUUGACUCAAUUGGACCACAUGGGUUGCUGGUUGAGCAAACAUGCUCGAGCCGUUUCUCUUGCACUGAGUGACAUGUUAAAAGACAUUGACAGUGUAAAACGGGCAACUCUUCAAAAUAGAGCAGCAAUCACUUAUCUGCUGCUGGCACAUGGAUAUGGAUGUGAGGAAUUUGAAGGAAUGUGCUGCAUAAAUCUGACAGAUCACUCAAAGUCAAUUCAUGAAAACAUUAAAAGAUAGAAGACAGUAUAAAAAAGCUUGGGGAGCUCACUGGAUCCUGGUUCGAUGAUGUGGUUGAAUUUUUCGAUCUUUCUCCUUUGUGGAAAGUGCUUUUAGAAAUAGAGUUUUAUAUUUUAGUAGGACUUUUGGUUCUCAUGCUCAUUGUGCCAUGCAUCCUUUUGUGUGUGUGACAGGUCAUGAAUCGAGUCGCCAAAGAGGUGGUUUUGGUGCAAACAGAAGGGGGAGAUGUCAGAACUCAGUACAUCCCUCCCGGUGUCCGAGUUGCCAAGCACCCCACCAGGGAGCUUGGAGACCCUGGCAUGCUGCCCAGAACACCUGGGGAUUUGAUUUUGACCCUUGGAGCAAGUUACCAGCUUUGUAUGAGGACGUGAAAGUCACACAGGUUUGAAUUGAGUAAUGACAAAAUAAUCACAGGAUGAAAAUGUAGAUUUUAGGAUUUUUUGGUAUGGGGGUUAUGGGGACAAGAUGGAGGAAUCAGGGCAUGUCUAGCCUUUCUUCUUGUUCUUUUUGUUCUCCAUUUUCUGCUGUGAUGUUGGCACUUUGGGAUUGAUUUAGAGUAGAAGUGCACUGUCUAAAAUAGGUGAUAGGUAUUGGGAAUUAAGUGUCAAUAUGAUAUACGUAGUUUGUAGUAUAAAAAGACAACACCACCUUGGGAGCGGUCAGAGUGGUCGUGGCUGCCCUGCUGAGCAGACCUCGGCUGGGCAGAAAGAAAAUUUUAUAGAUAAGAAUUAAUAAACAACCUCAAGACCAAAAAGUGAAGAGUCCAGACUCGUUCUUCAGUUGCACAGGCCGAAGCACAGACAUCCUACGCAUCUCGGGGCAGCAAUUAUCAAUCAGCUACGCGAGAAUGAACGAGAUUCCCACUGUCCCUGCCUACUAUCCAGCAAAACCACAGCCAAGGGAAUGGGCUUGGCAGAAUCAGCAGUAUUGGAAACCCAAAUUGCCCUAGAAUUUUGGCAAUAAUUACAAACUGGCCAGAAGGUGAAAAUUUUGGUCUCGCUGACAAAGAAGAAUAAGAACAAGUGACACGGGCUGAAGAAGCUCCACCCUACAAUCAACUGCCAGCAGAAGAAACACGCUGCGUUGUUCUCACUGAUGGUUCAUGUUGCAUCGUAGGCAUGAACAACAACUGGAGAGCAGCCAUACGUGAAUCAUGAUUUUAAAAAUUUAAGAUUUUAGCUGAGGAUUAGAACCAAUUCACAUUGAAGUCAGAUACACCAAAAAUAGGACAAUGAUUAUUAGAUGCCUAAGCUAAAGCUAAUUGUUAUAUUAUGAGCUCAUUUGUAGAAAAAAGUGGAGCAAGUGAACCAUUAGAGGAACAUAUUGAAAGCAGUAGAACAAUGCCCAGCACCUAGACUCUGUGUUAAUCCAUCACAAAGCAGGGGCCUUGGAUUGUGCCAGAGGGUCACAGAGACCUGAUGAAGACCUUCCUGACUUCAUCCCUGGACCACUGGCCCAAUUUGAGACCACCGACCCAAUUCAAGAGAAGAAUUGCACACACGUGAAGGACUAAUAACGUCAUUUUAAUACAACGCGGGGAUGGGAGGUGCUGGGGUUAUGCAUACGUAUUAUUUUGGGAAAUGAACAGAAGGCAAAAAUCCUUGUGUGGUGCAGUCAUGCAUUUUGAGAAUGACUCCCCCGUGCUGCCCACCCACGUUAUAAACAUACAACUUUCUAACUUUAACUAGUUAGAGUCGUUGUCCUUGAUCUUCAGUUUUAAUGAUUCAGUUAGCAAGCCAGCCAGGAGGAGACUCUGCUGGGCUGUGCGACCAGCUCAGGUCAUGGACCCCCUUGGUGCACCCCCAGGAUAUUCCUGGAAGAGUGGGCUCUGCUGCACAGACUGUUCAUCCAGCAGCAGACAAGGACGCCUGACUACUAAAACUCCAGACAAAAUGGCAUUGUAAAAUUCAGGAAUUUAGCGGGACUUUCUGUGAGUAGAAAAUUGAAAAUUUUCUGUUUUGUUUAAACAUUGAAACAGUUUUAAACAGUGACCGGUAAGGCGUGGUCAGGAGAGGCCCUUUGGUAAGUCGUGGGAGAUGUCCCACGUGCAACUUGUGCCUCUGUAGUGUGCUUGCAAGCUGAAGUUGCAGUUGAAAUCUGGUUGCCAGCAGAAAGAGUUGUUGAACUGUUGUACUGAGCUCGGGCUUUUGGUGCUGCCAUUUGUUUUGCCUUAGAGAGCUCAGUUUGCCACCAACUGGGGCUAGCAGUCGUAAGGGCAAAUGCUGGUCUAAGGUUGUUAUAACUGAGUUUGUGUGUGUGGAAAUACCCCUUUCACAGUGAGUUUGUGUGUGUGGAAAGAAAUACCCCUUUCACAGUGAGUUUGUGUGUGUGAACUUUCUAGUUUUGGGGAACAGCAUUCACUGUGACACCUGGUGUUUGAGUAUAACCAUUCUUUCAUAAGGCUUUGUGUUCAGGUGUUAACCAAUCCUUUGCCUGUGGGACCUGGGAGGCGAGGAUCCAACGCUGUAACACAGUGCCUUUGUGAUCCCUCUCCUUGUGGAGUUUGCAAAGUUGCAACUUUGGAUUCAUCUGGUGUAGUGUGAGAUUUUGCUGACUAUUGUGUAAACGUUAUAAUUGUAACAAGCUGGUAAUUUUUGUUGUGUGUCAUCUGUGUUAAGCUAUGUAUUAAGCUUGAGCCUGAGUCAAAAGAGUUAAGCCACCUUUUUAUAGGACUUUAACUUGAACCAGUGUUUGUGGGCUGUCAGAGCUGUAAUAGAGAGAGCUUGUUAUAAGUUGAUUCCCAAGACUUGAGGUACAGGAGAGCUGUGUGGGUUUUUUCCCCUGCAUUGUGGUAAUUUGAUUCUUGGGACUGUAUAGCUCUGUUUGUGAGAUUUUAAGAUUUUGUUUGCAACAAGUGCAGCAUUUUAUGUGGAAAAACUAGUGUGGUGAUUUAUGUGCAUUAAAGCAAAUUAAAAGAAUUCCAGGAAUUCCCCCCCGCCCCCAUUUGUGGUGUUUGUGGGCAUAUCAGAUUUUUUCUGUAACAGGGACAGCCUUUUUAUUUAUUUUAUUUGUGGUUAGACAGAUUAAAGGAAUCCCUUUACCUUGG